Molecule: long non-coding RNA, 560 nt
Organism: Grammomys surdaster
Lineage: Eukaryota; Metazoa; Chordata; Mammalia; Rodentia; Muridae
Exons: 2
Source: RefSeq, a predicted model, not a curated record
CGUGUGGAAGGAAGCAGGCAGUGAAGAUCCAGUUCUGCCAAGCACCACUGCUCAUGCUGGGCUACUGCUCUUUCCAGUGGCCAGCAGGAGACACAGGUUUUAAAACGGUUGCUAUGUUAUCAAUCAGUAGCCAGAAGUGAAAGUAUAAAAGGCAGUUCCAUUUACAAUGAGAACUUCAAAUCACCAUUAGACAUUUUGGAGCCAACUUAGCAAGAAUCAUUAAGAAAACUCCAAAACCAUGACACACUGAAGGAACUCUGACUAGACUGACAGCAAACACGGUGCAUGACUGGGAAGACGGAACAGCUUCAGAAGGCAUGGAGCAAGGGAGUGAGGAGCAGAACGGAGACAGAUGGGGACAGCAGAGGACAUUUGACAGAUCCCAGGGAGUGGCUGUGGAAAGAUCUGCUCACACACAGGUCUGGAGAGCGUCCUGAUGAAUCACGUCAAGGCACGUGGGAGCAAAUGCCAUCAUCUGAAAUUACUUUAACAUGACAUAUUCCCCAACUCCCCCUUCUUACUAUUAUUUCCUUAUAAAUGCCUUGUUGUUUAACAGUUAA